RNAcentral lists this ribosomal RNA (511 nucleotides) under Priestia paraflexa. RNAcentral describes it as "partial 16S ribosomal RNA". It matches the Rfam family "Bacterial small subunit ribosomal RNA", at positions 38 to 524 of the family's 1533-position model. Lineage: Bacteria; Bacillati; Bacillota; Bacilli; Caryophanales; Bacillaceae. The record is from RNAcentral.
UAGGGGGGGGGGGGGUGCUAUACAUGCAAGUCGAGCGAACUGAUUAGAAGCUUGCUUCUAUGACGUUAGCGGCGGACGGGUGAGUAACACGUGGGCAACCUGCCUGUAAGACUGGGAUAACUCCGGGAAACCGGAGCUAAUACCGGAUAACAUUUUUUCUUGCAUAAGAGAAAAUUGAAAGAUGGUUUCGGCUAUCACUUACAGAUGGGCCCGCGGUGCAUUAGCUAGUUGGUGAGGUAACGGCUCACCAAGGCAACGAUGCAUAGCCGACCUGAGAGGGUGAUCGGCCACACUGGGACUGAGACACGGCCCAGACUCCUACGGGAGGCAGCAGUAGGGAAUCUUCCGCAAUGGACGAAAGUCUGACGGAGCAACGCCGCGUGAGUGAUGAAGGCUUUCGGGUCGUAAAACUCUGUUGUUAGGGAAGAACAAGUACAAGAGUAACUGCUUGUACCUUGACGGUACCUAACCAGAAAGCCACGGCUAACUACGUGCCAGCAGCCGCGGUAAU